Molecule: unclassified non-coding RNA, 180 nt
Filed under: uncultured fungus
Lineage: Eukaryota; Fungi
Description: sequence contains ITS1
Source: RNAcentral
UUGACUUGUUUUGUAUAUACUCGGAGAUGCCACGCUGCAGAGACAGAGUAGGGGGCCACCGGCGGGCUUCGUGCCCGGCGCAGGGCCGGGCACCCGCCGAGGCAACGUUUCGGUAGGUUCACAGGGUUGUGGGAUCUUGCGAUUCCAGUAAUGAUCCCUCCGCUGGUUCACCAACGGAGA